Molecule: long non-coding RNA, 1697 nt
Filed under: Gossypium raimondii (Peruvian cotton)
Lineage: Eukaryota; Viridiplantae; Streptophyta; Magnoliopsida; Malvales; Malvaceae
Description: long non-coding RNA (GRAI_LNC008115)
Source: RNAcentral
ACAGAAAUAGACAUACUAUACAUACAGAAAUCACAUUUACAGUCAGAUUCAGAUUCAGAUUCAGAUUCAGAUUCAGAUUCGGACUUAAGUCUUUUACAGAUAUAGAUAACAAAAUCAAAUAAGUAGAACAAAUAUACAGAAUCCUUCCCCCAUCCUCUACACACCAACUCCAACCAUCCCAUCACACCAUGUGGGGUUAAAAACACCCACCCAUCCCUACACACCAUAUAGUAUCAAUAAGACACAUAACAGAAAAAUAUGCAAUCAGGCUACCAGAAUAUAGGCGAAGAGUCGUUAUACAGAUCACUUCCUCCAUAUAUACGAUUCUCACCCUAAUCAUAGAUACAUGAUACAAAUGUUGAAAUAUCAUGCUUAACAUGCUCGCAUACAUACAACAUAUAUAUAGAAUAGCUAGACAUACAUAAUAGUGUCCUACUUAGAGCAAACUAUCAGAAUAUCAGAUCACAUAAUUUAUGGUUUGGUUAUCUCUUACUGACCCUACGGUAGGUCCACAGUUGAUCAAAACGACCCGUGCGACCCUAGGGAAAAUUUAAGAAUUAUGGGCCCAUAUGCCCAUGUGGCCCACACACCCAGAUUGGCCUUACUCGUGUGGCCCACACGGCCUGGCCCAAAAAUCACAUGCUCGAGAGGCCCACCCACCUAAUCUGGCCUAGCCCGUGUGGCCCACACAGCCACACUCACACCAUCACACAGUCGUGUCUCACACACGACUGAGACACGACCAACCACAUGGCCAGACACACACCCGUGUUGAAUCGACAGAAUACUUUUUCGACUUUCGCUGAAACCCAAUUUUUUACGUUUUGAGAACACACCUCGUAUGAUUUGAUGCGAAACCAGUCCCGAGACCAUUAGCACCUAAAGAUAGAAUCUCAAUGCCCUAUUAGUAAACGAUUUACGAAUUCAAAAAAACUAAAUCGAGCAGUGCUCAAAACUUACCACCAUAGGAAUGACUACACACGAAAAACCGUUGAAGCAAAACUCACAGCUUCACCGCCUUCACCUACACAACCAUUUGCAGAAUUCAGAUUUCUUACAACUAUCAUUACGUCACAAAAACGAGAAUGAAACGAAAAACUUACCGAGACAGCGCGAAAGACAGUAAAAUGUGAACCGAUUUGGAAAAAAAUAAAAAAGAUAGAAAAACAAACGUAGAGGAUGAACAAGAGGACCAAACGGCAGAACCCAAGAGGAAUGGCAGAAAACUAACGUCAGAAAUUUAGAGGAGAGAAAAAAAAUCAAAUAAAAUCCAUCAAUUUUAGGCACAACCUCCUACUACCCACCAAAUCCCCCAAAAACUAACCACUAACCUCAUCCACUCUUAGAAUUUCAACUCCACUCAAAUUCUCACAGUCAUUCGAAGCAAAAACUAUCACCUUUGCUCAUGUAGGGAUUCAAACACAGGACCUCCAGUACACUAACACCUUACCACUCGAACCAGAAGGCUCAUUCUGAUAUGGAUUAACAGAAAAUUUUAUAUAAGCCCACUCAACAAGGAUAAGGCUUGGAUUUAAAAAUAACCAAAAUUUGCAACUGUGAGACUUGAACCCAAGACCUCAUACACACACCCAAAACACUUAACCAUUAAAGUAAAUACAUAUUUGUGUCAAGUAUUUAUAGAAGUAGAAAUAAAUUAUUCAGGGUGUUACAACUCUACCCCCUAAAAGAAAUUUCGG